Long non-coding RNA from Ornithorhynchus anatinus (platypus), 781 nucleotides. RefSeq lists it as uncharacterized. Lineage: Eukaryota; Metazoa; Chordata; Mammalia; Monotremata; Ornithorhynchidae. The transcript has 3 exons. The record is from RefSeq and is a predicted model, not a curated record.
CGAGGAGCGACCUUUGAAAUCCGGGAUGCGGGCCACGGGAAGGCCUUUUUGGGCCAUCUGCCCUUCACCCCUACCUGCAGCUCCAAGCGUCCCCCCCACGCCCUCUCCAUAAACCUGCGUGCGCCUCCCAUUCCCACCCGUUCCCGUCCUUUAUGCUCCAGUCCGACUGCAGUCACAGUCUUUCCCCGGGCAUCCCCAGCCGGGUGUCGGAGAUAUCUGUGCUUGAAGGGACGUGCGGGUCGUUAGAGAUUCGGGCCGCUGCAGGGACCGCAUUCCGGGUGAUUGCUGUUCUCUUCCUCCGAUCGAGGUCAGCUGCUCGGCGAGGAAGGGGAAGAGCUUCCCUCUUCCAGAAGACAGAAGAGGAGGAGGCUGUCCACCUCAGGACAGGACAGAUCAGCUGCUCGCCAGUUCCAGGGCAGAUCAGGAGCUCACCAGGUGCGUGGACCCCAGCUUCCCCCUGUCCCCAGGAGGUGAGGAGAUUUUGCAUCCGGUGACAGAUACAAACCCUCUCCUAUUAUGCUCGGAAGAUGAGGAGUUUUCUUCAUCUAGUUCCAGGGCAGAUCAGGAGCUCACCAGAUGUAUGGACACUAGCUUCCCCCUGUCCCCAGGAGGUGAGGAGAUUUUGCAUCCGGUGACAGAUCGACUCCUCAGCAGAUGCAUCGCAAGGACCCCCGUCCUAUACCCGGAAGAGGAGAAGAUUUUCCACCUAGUGACACGACAGAUCGUCUGCUCGGCAGAUGAGGUAACUGAGACACAGAGAGGUGAAGUGACUUGCCCGAGG